CAGCCGCCGCGGUAAUACGAAGGGUGCAAGUGUUAAUCGGAAUUACUGGGCGUAAAGCGUGCGUAGGCGGUGAGUUAAGUCUGCUGUGAAAUCCCGGGGCUCAACCCCGGAACUGCAUCCGAUACUGCCGUGCUAGAGGAUUGGAGAGGUAGCUGGAAUUCUUGGUGUAGCAGUGAAAUGCGUGGAGAUCAAGAGGAACACUCGUGGCGAAAGCGAGCUACUGGACAAUAUCUGACGCUGAGGCUCGAAGGCCAGGGUAGCGAAAGGGAUUAGAUACCCCUGUAGUCCCUGUCUCUUAUAC
Molecule: ribosomal RNA, 301 nt
Filed under: uncultured bacterium
Lineage: Bacteria
Description: partial 16S ribosomal RNA
Rfam family: Bacterial small subunit ribosomal RNA
Source: RNAcentral